CUCCGCCACCGCCGCGGACGCAAGAACCUGGCGCCAGCCAACCGUGUCGCCAUGGCAACUCCACCACCGCCUACACCGGAACCGGAAUUCGUCCGGAAGGGCUCCCUUCCCGGCGUCCCGCGGCCGGCGAAACCCCGCCCCGCGCCUUUCCCGGUCCUCCCGGAGUAUCCCAGCAGGCCCGUCCAUCCGCCGGAGGGAAGUCGUCCUCCCCCUCGUUUCGCCUCUCCUUGCCUCGGAGCGUGACCCUGGCGGACACCCACUCUCUCCAAUCAACUGAGGAAGUGGUUGCCGACGGCCAAUAGCAUUAAAGACUAUUCCAACUGGCCCACCAUCCCGCAAGUGUACCUCAAUGGCGAGUUUGUGGGGGGCUGUGACAUUCUUCUGCAGAUGCACCAGAACGGGGACCUGGUGGAAGAACUGAAAAAGCUGGGGAUCCGCUCCGCCCUUUUAGAUGAAAAGAAAGACCAAGACGCAAAGUGAGGGCGGCCCGGGUCCUCCCUGAGCCGAAUGCCCAGGAGCCCUUGGGGCAGAGACUCACUGCCAGAAAAGCCUUACCGAUUUUGGUUUUCUCUCUUCACACAACUGCUUGCACUGAUUCUCCCAGUACGUAAGCAGUCGGUGAUUUUAGUGUGUCUGGUGUUUGGGCUAAGAAUAUUCUAUUGUGAACCUAAUUAUAACCACUGCACUGUAGUAAUUCAAUGUUGUAUUAUGAUCUUGCUGUAAACAAAAUUUGUUCUUAUAUUGUCAUUUACUCUUUGCCUGAUUCGGGAGUACAACUGGGAGCUUUUGAAUCAUUAUUCAUGAGUCUUCUGCAAAUGUGUCGGUCUGCAAAGAUAAUAUAUCCCCCCAAAUUUUUGUAACUUGUUCUGUUAAGAAAAAUGAUGGACAAGGAAGGAAAUAUGAUAACUGGGGUAUUGUUUUUUAAAAUAAACUGCCUACCCAGGGAUGCUGUGUGUGAGU
Ceratotherium simum simum (southern white rhinoceros) is the source of this 960-nucleotide non-coding RNA. The record is from RefSeq and is a predicted model, not a curated record. Lineage: Eukaryota; Metazoa; Chordata; Mammalia; Perissodactyla; Rhinocerotidae.